RNAcentral lists this long non-coding RNA (5670 nucleotides) under Sorghum bicolor (sorghum). RNAcentral's name for it is "long non-coding RNA (SBIC_LNC018650)". Lineage: Eukaryota; Viridiplantae; Streptophyta; Magnoliopsida; Poales; Poaceae. The record is from RNAcentral.
UGGCUAGUACCGUUUUAGUUAGGGCUUGUUGAAUUUGCGUUGCUUCGGUUUGUGUCGAGUUGCUGGUCUUAGUGUCUAGUCCUUUAGAGUUUCGAGUUCUUGUCACCAUCUAUACACAGCCGAGUAUUACCAUAUCUUCUCUCUGUCGAAUCUGUUGCGAAGUCUGAAUUGAAUUGUGGUCUUGGUCCGGAUCGAGUAGAGUUCCAAUCUGAGUUCAAAAAGAAAGAUAACUCUACUUGUUCGGCCUUACUCUAGAGAGAGAGAGAGAGUGUGGAGCGAAAAAAGUGUGUGGAGCGAAUUGCUCUUUUGUAUUCUUUUGUUCAUAUAAUCAGUUUUUGAGGUUGCCCAAAAAAAAAGAAAAAAAAAGAAAAGAGAAAAGAUUCAAAAAAAGGGGCUGUUUUUCAUAUUGAUUUUAGGUUUGUCCCACCUUGUUUUCGGGGGUGUGCUGUGGUUUUCCUUUGUGUCCAGGCUCGCGUCUCUAGCAUGGUCUAGCCUAGGACCAGCACAGUACCAUCAUCGAACGCUUAUUCAGCUCGCUUUUAUAACUAACGUGGUGCUAGUUCGUUCCUUGUUUCAGCCCACCUAUAGCUCCACAUACUCUACAGCUUGACAGGUCUUGUGCUGCAGCACCGAUACACUUCGUCCAUUGCUGUACACUUGUUGGCAGACGACCCCUCCUGUCAAGCAAGGUAAGAAUUGGUAAGAACUUGUGUUACAGGUUGAGUGUGAGCGACUUGCUGUAGCUACAUCCUAGUAGUUGUAGGGCUUUUAUUUCUUCACUUGCCUUUUUAUUGUCUUUAUCUUUGAACCAUGCCAGGGGCAGAUGAUGGUAACGAAACACCACUUACACCUCGCACUAAGGGCAUCAUACAACAUUUUAAAAGGAAAGUGAAGAUGCACACAGAGGGACUUGAUAACGACUUGCAGGUGACGAAUGAAAAGCUGGGGCAGUUGGAGGCUACGCAGAUUGCCACAAACAACAAGCUCACAAGUUUGGAGGAAUCCGUUGCUAGUGUGGACAAAAGCCUUGCUGCUCUCCUAAGGCGAUUUGAUGCUUUCCACACCGAAGAUAAAGAGAAGCAUAAAGAAGAAAAGGAGGGAGAUCGAGAGCACGGUAGUCAUGAAGAUGACUACACUGGUGAUACUGAACAUGAUGAUCAAGACACUCGUGAUCGACGUCACCUUCGUCACAACCGUAGAGGUAUGGGUGGCAACCGCCGACGCGAGGUACACAAUAAUGAUGAUGCUUUCAGUAAGAUUAAAUUUAAGAUACCCCUUUUGAUGGUAAAUAUGACUCUGAUGCUUACAUCACUUGGGAGAUUGCUGUUGAUCAAAAGUUUGCAUGUCAUGAAUUUCCUGAGACUACACGUGUUAGGGCUGCUACUAGUGAGUUUACAUAUUUUGCUUCUGUUUGAUGGAUAGAAUAUGGAAAGAAAAAUCCUAAUAACUUACCUAGAACUUGGGAUGCGCUGAAAAGGGCCAUGAGAGCUAGAUUUGUUCCAUAUUACUAUGCGCGUGAUAUGAUAAAUAAGUUGCAGCAGUUAAGACAAGGUGCUAAAAGUGUAGAAGAAUAUUAUCAGGAAUUACAAAUGGGUAUGUUGCGUUGUAACCUAGAGGAGGAUGAGGAACCGGCUAUGGCUAGAUUUUUGGGUGGGUUAAAUCGUGAAAUCCAGGACAUUCUUGCUUAUAAAGAUUAUACUAACGUAACCCGUUUGUUUCAUCUUGCUUGUAAAGCUGAAAGGGAAGUGCAGGGACGACGUGCUAGCGCAAGGAGUAAUAUUUCUGCAGGGAAGGCUAAUUCAUGGCAGCAACGCGUGGCUUCAACUCCAUCUACACGUAUUUCUACUCCAUCAUCUAGUGACAAGACUCGAGCUGCCCCCACCAAUUCAGUUGCGAAGACGAUGCAAAAGCCUGCUGCGAGUACUUCAUCCGUGGCAUCGACGGGUAGAACAAGCAACAUACAAUGUCACCGGUGCAAGGGAUAUGGGCACAUGAUGCGUGACUGUCCAAACAAGCGAGUUAUGAUUGUUAGGGAUGAUGGUGAGUACUCAUCUGCUAGUGAUUUUGAUGAGGAUACACUUGCACUGCUUGCGACUGACCAUGCAGGUAAUGAAGAUCAAAUAGAAGAACAUAUUAAUGCAGGUGAAGCGGACCACUAUGAGAGCUUGAUCGUGCAGCGAGUGCUUAGUGCACAAAUGGAGAUGGCGGAACAAAAUCAGCGACACAUUUUAUUCCAAACAAAGUGUGUCAUCAAAGAGCGUUCUUGUCGCAUGAUCAUUGAUGGAGGUAGCUGCAACAACUUGGCAAGCAGCGAUAUGGUGCAGAAGCUUGCCCUCAACACCAAACCACACCCGCAUCCCUACUACAUCCAAUGGCUGAACAACAGUGGUAAGGCAAAGGUAACUAGACUUGUGAGAAUUAAUUUUUCCAUCGGAUCCUACAAAGAUAUUGUUGAAUGUGAUGUUGUGCCUAUGCAAGCUUGUAACAUUCUGCUAGGUAGACCUUGGCAAUUUGAUAGAGAUUCUAUGCAUCAUGGUAGAUCAAAUCAGUAUUCUUUUCUAUACCAUGAUCGCAAAAUUGUGUUGCAUCCUAUGUCCUCUGAAACUAUUAUGCAAACUGAUGUUGCUAGGGCUACUAAAGCAAAGAGCAAGAGCAAUAAAAAUGAUAAAUCUGUAAUUGGUAACAAAGAUGAGAUAAAACUGAAAGGACGUUGUAUGAUAGCUACCAAAUCAGAUAUUAAUGAGUUCAAUGCAUCCACUUCUGUUGCUUAUGCUUUGAUAUGCAAGGAUGCUUUGAUUUCAGUUGAGGAUAUGCAAUGUUCUUUGCCCCCUGCUGUUGCUAACGUUUUGCAGGAGUAUUCUGAUGUGUUUCCAAGUGAUGUACCAGCGGGGCUGCCUCCACUACGCGGGAUUGAGCACCAAAUUGAUCUUAUUCCUGGAUCAGUUUUGCCAAAUCGUGCACCAUACAGGACAAACCCGGAGGAAACAAAGGAAAUUCAGCGACAAGUGCAAGAACUACUAGACAAAGGUUAUGUCCGAGAAUCUCUUAGUCCUUGUGCUGUUGCAGUAAUUUUAGUGCCUAAGAAAGAUGGAACAUGGUGUAUGUGUGUUGAUUGUAGAGCUAUUAAUAAUAUCACCAUUCGAUAUCGACACCCUAUUCCACGAUUAGAUGAUAUGCUAGAUGAACUGAGUGGUGCUGUUGUGUUUUCAAAAGUUGAUUUACGUAGUGGGUACCACCAGAUUCGUAUGAAAUUGGGAGAUAAAGGUAGAAAGCAAUUGAUUCUGGAACCUGGGGAUUUGGUUUGGUUGCAUUUGCGAAAAGAUAGAUUUCCAGAACUGAGAAAAUCCAAAUUGAUGCCUAGAGCUGAUGGUCCUUUUAAAGUGCUGCAACGAAUUAAUGAGAAUGCAUAUAAGCUUGAUCUUCCUGCAGAUUUUGGGGUUAGUCCCACAUUUAACAUUGCAGAUUUGAAGCCUUAUUUGGGUGAGGAAGAUGAGCUUGAGUCGAGGAUGACUCAAAUUUAAGAAAGGGAGGAUGAUGAGGACAUCAACACCAGCGAUACAUAUCCUACAUCCACCAGCGAUACAUAUCCUACAUCCACCAGCGAUACAUAUCCUACAUCCUCUCCGACACAACCUAUAGCUGGUCCUCUUACUCGUGCUCGUGCCCGUCAACUCAACCUUCAAGUAAGUUCAGCUUUAAACUCUUGUCAAUCAUAUUUAGACAAUGGAGACACGUGCACUUUGGUGUUGCUCAGGAAUAAUGGACAAGAUCAGCAAGGGAAGGUUCAACUGCAUUCAGAAUUUGAGGCAACACCAACUUCAAGGGCUGAUUGCAUAUGGGAAGAGUGAUAACUUAACAAAGGUGAUUGAAGAUCAGGUCCAAGCCUCCACAACAUCCUCUGUCAAGUUACCACGUCGUUUCUAAAGCAAGGAAACAAAGAGUCCAAACCCAACACGUUUUGGGAGUUGGAUUCGGACUGGAAAAUAACUCUAACUUGUAUGGAUCACCACGGCGUCAUAUGGACUCCAACUGGGACGUUCCUAUACUUGUUGGAAAGCUCAUGAAGGCUACUUUCCAAUGGGUCCAACCACAUAUCUAUGCGGCUUAUGAGUCGGGCGCAGUCCUUGUUUUCGUGCCGACACCUUUUUCUGUUUUGGUGCUGCGUCACCCUAUUUUGGACCAAUGGCCCAUGUAUCAAGUUGAGUCCAUUAGGGACGCGUCCUAGGGUUGGAGGACGACUCUAGCACCCCUUUGGUCGUCCUCCCCUCUAUUUAUUUACAUCUAGAGCCGCCAUAAACAACUGGGUUUUGUUUAGAUCAAGUUUAGCCUUCGCUACUUGCUUGUAGGCGCGCGUGCAGGAUCAGCCGCCCGCCUCCUUGUCUUCGGAACCCCAUUGUUGAUUAAGAUUCAGUUUAAAACCUUCAAUUCAUCUUGCAAAUUCAGUGCUUGUUUCCUCGUUCUUGCUAGUUCUUCGAUUGCUUGCAGGACGGGAGCCCUAGGGGCUGGUUGUCGCGCUCCACAAGAUCGUGACGGCUGUUGGACGUGGUGUAUCGGUUGCUAAGGCGCGGUCUUGAGGGCUGUAGUCGGGCCGUGAACGUCAUCUCCAUCCACUAAUCGAGUUAUCCACCGCCUCUCAUCGAAAGAUCAGGCCAAAAACCCUAGCGGGCUCGCAUCAGUUGGUAUCAGAGCAAGGUUCUUCGGUGAGAGACUUCUAAUCCUUUGCUGUUUUUAAUUAAUUUCCUAUAGUCCAGAAAAGCCAAAAAAAUAUAGUAGAUUAGUUUUCCAUAAUCCUAUUAAACCUUUGUGCUUUGGCUAGUACCGUUUUAGUUAGGGCUUGUUGAAUUUGCGUUGCUUCGGUUUGUGUCGAGUUGCUGGUCUUAGUGUCUAGUCCUUUAGAGUUUCGAGUUCUUGUCACCAUCUAUACACAGCCGAGUAUUACCAUAUCUUCUCUCUGUCGAAUCUGUUGCGAAGUCUGAAUUGAACUGUGGUCUUGGUCCGGAUCGAGUAGAGUUCCAAUCUGAGUUCAAAAAGAAAGAUAACUCUACUUGUUCGGCCUUACUCGAGAGAGAGAGAGAGAGUGUGGAGCGAAAAAAGUGUAUGGAGCGAAUUGCUCUUUUGUAUUCUUUUGUUCAUAUAAUCAGUUUUUGAGGUUGCCCAAAAAAAAAGAAAAAAAAAAGAAAAAAAAGAAAAGAGAAAAGAUUCAAAAAAAGGGGCUGUUUUUCAUAUUGAUUUUAGGUUUGUCCCACCUUGUUUUCGGGGGUGUGCUGUGGUUUUCCUUUGUGUCUAGGCUCGCGUCUCUAGCACGGUCUAGCCUAGGACCAGCACAGUACCAUCGUCGAACGCUUAUUCAGCUCGCUUUUAUAACUAACGUGGUGCUAGUUCGUUCCUUGUUUCAGCCCACCUAUAGCUCCACAUACUCUACAGCUUGACAGGUCUUGUGCUGCAGCACCGAUACACUUCGUCCAUUGCUGUACACUUGUUGGCAGACGACCCCUCCUGUCAAGCAAGGUAAGAAUUGGUAAGAACUUGUGUUACAGGUUGAGUGUGAGCGACUUGCUGUAGCUACAUCCUAGUAGUUGUAGGGCUUUUAUUUCUUCACUUGCCUUUUUGUUGUCUUUGUCUUCGAACCAUGCCAGGGGCAGAUGAUGGUAACGAAACACCACUUACACC